ACACAUGCAGUCGAGCGGUAACAGAUCCAGCUUGCUGGAUGCUGACGAGCGGCGGACGGGUGAGUAAUGCAUAGGAAUCUGCCCGAUAGUGGGGGAUAACCUGGGGAAACCCAGGCUAAUACCGCAUACGUCCUACGGGAGAAAGGGGGCUUCGGCUCCCGCUAUCGGAUGAGCCUAUGUCGGAUUAGCUAGUUGGUGAGGUAAAGGCUCACCAAGGCAACGAUCCGUAGCUGGUCUGAGAGGAUGAUCAGCCACAUCGGGACUGAGACACGGCCCGAACUCCUACGGGAGGCAGCAGUGGGGAAUAUUGGACAAUGGGGGCAACCCUGAUCCAGCCAUGCCGCGUGUGUGAAGAAGGCCCUCGGGUUGUAAAGCACUUUCAGCGAGGAAGAACGCCUAGUGGUUAAUACCCGCUAGGAAAGACAUCACUCGCAGAAGAAGCACCGGCUAACUCCGUGCCAGCAGCCGCGGUAAUACGGAGGGUGCAAGCGUUAAUCGGAAUUACUGGGCGUAAAGCGCGCGUAGUGGCUUGAUAAGCCGGUUGUGAAAGCCCCGGGCUCAACCUGGGAACGGCAUCCGGGA
RNAcentral lists this ribosomal RNA (582 nucleotides) under uncultured bacterium. Its description in RNAcentral is "bacterial SSU rRNA". It matches the Rfam family "Bacterial small subunit ribosomal RNA", at positions 51 to 632 of the family's 1533-position model. The record is from RNAcentral.